CUUUCCUCCUUAUGCAACUCAACCUCAUCACUCGUAGCUCUCAAAUCAAGAUUAAGGGUAAUGUCGGUCCCUACAAAAUGAACUAGAGCCUCAUUAAACCAAAAUCUUCUUUCUUAUUAUCCUAGAAGGAGAUCAGUGCAUCCACUAAUGACCUACUUUGUUUCAUGUAUGGAAAUUGGAGCAAAUGACCAAAUCGAGUACCAGCCAUUUUUACCUUCUACUCUUUGGACAUGGACUCUAUAAGUCUAUUAAUAGCCUCAAUGUAAUGGCUAAAUAGCACUUUCCAUUGGUCAUUUGUCGAACUAAUGCAAAAUGCUUUACCUCCUUAAAUCGGACACCUUAACACUACAUCACAAAU
RNAcentral lists this long non-coding RNA (358 nucleotides) under Elaeis guineensis (African oil palm). Its description in RNAcentral is "long non-coding RNA (EGUI_LNC008583)". The record is from RNAcentral. Lineage: Eukaryota; Viridiplantae; Streptophyta; Magnoliopsida; Arecales; Arecaceae.